CCAGAGUCCCCAGGAUCCCAA
RNAcentral lists this unclassified non-coding RNA (21 nucleotides) under Mus musculus (house mouse). Its description in RNAcentral is "oocyte_clustered_small_RNA9459". The record is from RNAcentral. Lineage: Eukaryota; Metazoa; Chordata; Mammalia; Rodentia; Muridae.